Molecule: ribosomal RNA, 253 nt
Filed under: uncultured bacterium
Lineage: Bacteria
Description: partial 16S ribosomal RNA
Rfam family: Bacterial small subunit ribosomal RNA
Source: RNAcentral
UACGUAGGGAGCAAGCGUUGUCCGGAAUCAUUGGGCGUAAAGCGCGCGUAGGCGGCCUCGUAAGUCCGCUGUAAAAGUCACAGGCUCAACCUGUGAACGCCGGUGGAUACUGCGAGGCUAGAGUCCGGAAGAGGCGAGUGGAACUCCUGGUGUAGCGGUGGAAUGCGCAGAUAUCAGGAAGAACACCAACGGCGAAGGCGGCUCGCUGGGACGGUACUGACGCUGAGGCGCGAAAGCGUGGGGAGCGAACAGG